RNAcentral lists this long non-coding RNA (349 nucleotides) under Brassica napus (rape). Its description in RNAcentral is "long non-coding RNA (BNAP_LNC013894)". The record is from RNAcentral. Lineage: Eukaryota; Viridiplantae; Streptophyta; Magnoliopsida; Brassicales; Brassicaceae.
AUUUUAGCCUACUUAUGGUCAUAUUUGAAUUAAAAGAUAUAUGGUUGACAAAUAAAUACAUAUAAUUUCUAGCAAUUAUUAUGGGUUGGUUCUUUAGUGUAUUGUUUUUGGGAUUUUGAAAAAAGUCUUAUCGAAUAUUAAGGAAAACCUGGUUGGGUUCAUGCCGAUCCUCUUAGGUCCAGGUGUGUUUGAUAUCAGUUAUAUCAAAAUAAAUUUGAUAUAUUUUGAAAAUCAACUUGUGAUUUAAAAACGCGGAUCAAAAUCUAGUUUUAUAUUAAAAUAGUGUAUAUAUAGUUUACAUUGUAACUUAAAUUCAACCUUUAGCUAACAUAUUGAUUCAAACAACUCA